RNAcentral lists this long non-coding RNA (1051 nucleotides) under Triticum aestivum (bread wheat). Its description in RNAcentral is "long non-coding RNA (TAES_LNC002033)". Lineage: Eukaryota; Viridiplantae; Streptophyta; Magnoliopsida; Poales; Poaceae. The record is from RNAcentral.
UGCUGUGUCUUGGCUGGAGCCCUAUUUGGUUCUAGUAAUUGUUGCACUUCGGUAAGUUCUUUCUCUACUUGACUUGAUUAGAUGCUCUAUCAAGUAGAUUGGCUACUGUUUUGGUUUUAUUUAUGCAUUAAAAUCAUUGCUUGGUUGAACUGAUCUAUUGGCAGCAUAAUAUUGAUGAUUUGCUAAAAAACCUGUCCUGGGUAGGUUUUCGGUUAGUCCAUGGUCAUUUUUGCUCAAUCCUGAGUUCCUGACUGCAUAUUGAUCCUGUGCUUGGCUGUAUGGCUCUGUCCUGGGUUUGGUUGUGUUAAUUAAUCUCUACCAGAAAUUCACUUAAUGUAAAUGUCUUCAAAAUCCAUGAGCCUGGCAGGUAACGGAGCUAGCUAGAUUAUGUAUUAUUGUUGGUUACACUGUUGCACUUGAAGUAGUACAAAUUGCUUCAGCAAGUGCUUAUCUUAACCAGCAAUGUUCCUUGUGUUCAUCGCCAGAGUAUUUCAUCGGCCAUGCUACUGUUUUACAGGUUUACUUUUUGGACCAAGCUGGUGCUUUUCCAGGACUAAGGAGCAAGGAGUUGUCAUGGCUCGGUUGCCGACCGUCUGUCUAUGCGGCUGCUGCCACUUUGGCUGUGGCCUAUAUAAUGUUUUGGUCCUGGUAAUGUCUUGAGUAGUCGUCGACAUGGUGGUAGCAUCGUUCUUGUGAUGCUCCAGGUUCAGGAACUGUAGUAGUAGUAGUUUCUUUUUUGAGGGGUUGUAGUAGUAGUAGCAGCGUAGUUUUUGGGCCGUGUCUUGUUUGGGGCCCUAUUUGACUUUGGUGGGAUGAUGACCGGCUAUUUUGGUCUUGUGCAGACCUCCUCCUCGCGGGGUGACCGACUGUGUAUUUAUGCAGGGUGGCCCGGCUGCUUGGUUCCGGUCCGGCGUCUGCUGUAAUAGUAGUGUGUUGAAGCAAGUGGUGUAAUUAUAUUCGGCAGUAGAGUGUAACAAGAGUUGCAAGGAAGUUGUUCGUUGUUGUUUGCUUUGCACACACAUGUAUGUUGCAUUUCUAGUCUUGCUCUGAU